Molecule: ribosomal RNA, 466 nt
Filed under: uncultured bacterium
Lineage: Bacteria
Description: partial 16S ribosomal RNA
Rfam family: Bacterial small subunit ribosomal RNA
Source: RNAcentral
GACGAACGCUGGCGGCGUGCUUAACACAUGCAAGUCGAACGGAAAGGCCCUGCUUUUGUGGGGUGCUCGAGUGGCGAACGGGUGAGUAACACGUGAGUAACCUGCCCUUGACUUUGGGAUAACUUCAGGAAACUGGGGCUAAUACCGGAUAGGAGCUCCUGCUGCACGGUGGGGGUUGGAAAGUGUCGGCGGUUGGGGAUGGACUCGCGGCUUAUCAGCUUGUUGGUGGGGUAGUGGCUUACCAAGGCUUUGACGGGUAGCCGGCCUGAGAGGGUGACCGGCCACAGUGGGACUGAGAUACGGCCGAGACUCCUACGGGAGGCAGCAGGGGGGAAUAUUGCACAAUGGGCGGAAGCGUGAUGCAGCAACGCCGCGUGCGGGAUGACGGCCUUCGGGAUGUAAACCGCUUUCGCCUGUGACGAAGCGUGUGUGACGGUAAUGGGUAAAGAAGCACCGGCUAACUACG